Molecule: unclassified non-coding RNA, 310 nt
Filed under: plant metagenome
Description: partial contains 5.8S ribosomal RNA, internal transcribed spacer 2, and large subunit ribosomal RNA
Rfam family: 5.8S ribosomal RNA (bases 1-105)
Source: RNAcentral
GAAAUGCGAUAAGUAGUGUGAAUUGCAGAAUUCAGUGAAUCAUCGAAUCUUUGAACGCACAUUGCGCCCCUUGGUAUUCCAUGGGGCAUGCCUGUUCGAGCGUCAUUUGUACCCUCAAGCUCUGCUUGGUGUUGGGUGUUUGUCCCCGUCUCCGCGCGUGGACUCGCCCCAAAGUGAUUGGCAGCCGGCGUACUGGUCCCGGAGCGCAGCACAUGUCGCGCAAACGAGUGCCUUGGUACGGCGGCGUCCAUAAGCCCCUCUCUCACGCUCUUGACCUCGGAUCAGGUAGAGAUACCUGCUGAACUUAAGC